Molecule: ribosomal RNA, 442 nt
Filed under: uncultured bacterium
Lineage: Bacteria
Description: partial 16S ribosomal RNA
Rfam family: Bacterial small subunit ribosomal RNA
Source: RNAcentral
CCUACGGGUGGCAGCAGUGGGGAAUAUUGGGCAAUGGGCGCAAGCCUGACCCAGCAACGCCGCGUGAAGGAAGAAGGCUUUCGGGUUGUAAACUUCUUUUCUGGGGGACGAACAAAUGACGGUACCCCAGUAAUAAGCCACGGCUAACUACGUGCCAGCAGCCGCGGUAAUACGUAGGUGGCAAGCGUUAUCCGGAGUUAGUGGGUGUAAAGGGCGUGUAGGCGGGAAUGCAAGGCAGAUGUGAAAACUAUGGGCUCAACCCAUAGCCUGCAUUUGAAACUGUAUUUCUUGAGUGCUGGAGAGGCAAUCGGAAUGCCGUGUGUAGCGGUGAAAUGCGUAGAUAUACGGAGGAACACCAGUGGCGAAGGCGGAUUGCUGGACAGUAACUGACGCUGAGGCGCGAAAGCGUGGGGAGCAAACAGGAUUAGAUACCCGGGUAGUC